GCUAAAAUAAGAAUAAUAAAGUUUGUUUUAAAUGUGGCUUACCAGAUCAUUUUAUUUGAGAUUGCCCAGAGUUAUUUAAGAAAGAUAAAUUUCAGAAUGCAAGACCGAGCAAUACGACUGCGAGAGGGAGACCACUGAGAAAUACGGAGAAUGUGUCUAAUAGAAAAGGUGUGACUAGGGAUUCAGCUGUGAGAUUUGAGGCUAGAGCACC
Molecule: long non-coding RNA, 211 nt
Filed under: Gossypium barbadense (sea-island cotton)
Lineage: Eukaryota; Viridiplantae; Streptophyta; Magnoliopsida; Malvales; Malvaceae
Description: long non-coding RNA (GBAR_LNC003315)
Source: RNAcentral